This is a long non-coding RNA of Bactrocera oleae (olive fruit fly), 2094 nucleotides long. RefSeq lists it as uncharacterized. NCBI's taxonomy places the organism in Eukaryota, Metazoa, Arthropoda, Insecta, Diptera, Tephritidae. The record is from RefSeq and is a predicted model, not a curated record.
GAUUGUUUUCGUUUGUUCGUCUCAUUUUAAAAUUGAAAAAAAGUAUUGGGCGCGGUUGACGUUGUUUUGAUAAUAAUGUAGAGGUUAAAUCGUGAUUUGUGUGAUUGGAUGUGAGUUUAGAAGUUAGGUGGUGUAUAUUGUUAAAAAUUCCAUCAGUAAAGCGUCAAAAUAUCGGCCGACAUAUGCGUAAACAAAGUCAGGGGUAGAGUUUUCGAAAUAGGAUGAUAUUUUCUCAAGUAAGAUAAAUCAGCUUCCAGGAAGAACCCAUACCUAUGAACUUUUGGCGUUUAUAUAUGAUGCAACAAUCGCUUACGCUGGAAAAAAAUCGGUUGUUUUUUGAAAAAUGAAUACUAUUUAUCCAUAUUGCAAUGCUUUGAGGUUUUGGCUAAACCCGACAAGAUUAGUAAUGCAUGAACGGAAAGGUGAAAUUACCGAGACUAACAUCCCGAACAUUUGUUAUUGUGUUAUUGAAUAACAUAUUAAUAUACAAAUCCAAUCAGAUUCAAAGACAAUUUACCACCGUGCAGGAGCAUUGUUGCUAGGAGUUGAUGGUUUAAAAUUACUGGAGGAUGAGAAUAAUUGAGAUUAUAUACGCGCUGAUGCUCUUAUUUCAUGUACUUCGUAUCAAAUUCAUCACUUUUUGUCAUCGUUAUUUCAACCAGGUUUCCAUCAAAUCCACAUAAUUUGUAGAACACAUACAAAGACAGUAUGAUGUAUGAUAUCGUUACACGUUUUGUGUUCAAUGUCCGGCAAGAUGAUGCGGGAAUUACGAAUGCCUAGAGCCAAUCGAUCCAUCUACGAUACAAUCAAUCAUGAAUUUGAACAAGAACGACAAAAUGUCAUAAAUGUUUUAAGUCAAUCCAUACAAAGCAAUGUCUCACUUUUAAAUCGGUAGCAAAAACAGCUUAUGUAACUAUUACGAAAGCAGUAAGUGAUAGCGAUGGAGGAUUUAUUUUCUUGAUGCACACGGUGGAACCGGUAAAACUUUUUUGAUUUCAUUAAUUUUAGAGACAAUCCGUCUCAAGGUCAAAUACCACUGGCACUCGCUUCAUCCGGGAUUGCUGCUACAUUGUUAGAAGGUGGACGUACUGCUCAUUCUGCGCUUAAUCUACCAUUAAAGUUGCAAACAAUAUAUAAACCAAUAUAUACCAUAAUAUAAACAAAACGUCGGCAAUGGCAAAAGUGCUACAAAAUUGUAAAUUAAUUAUCUGGGAUGGAGUGUACGAUGUCUCACAACCGAGCACUUGAUCGAAUAUAAAAAGAUUUACGCUUCGGAGGCGCGAUGAAUCUAUUGUCUGAGGAUUUUCGCCAAACGCUGCCAGUCAUUCCCAGAUCAACUGCUGCUGAUGAAAUAAAUGCUUGCCUGAAGGCAUCAUAUUUAUAGAUAUAAGUAAAAUAACUCAAAUUAACAACCGAUAUGCGAGUGGAGUUGCAAAAUAAGAUAUCGACAGGAGUGUUUUCAAAUGCAUUAGUAGACAUUGGUUAUGGUAGAAUUCUUGUUGAAGCUUCUACUGACCUUAUUUCAUUUCCACCAAAUUUUUGUCAAUUCACAAAUUUAAAGGAAGUAUUAAUAUUAAAAAUGCUCCCAAAUAAUGGUGUGAAAUGUAAAAAUCAUGCUGGGUUGAGCAAACGAGACACUUUAGCAGCAAAAAAUUAGGAUGUAGAUGAUUUGAAUAUAAACAUUCAAAGUAAAAUUGAUGGACAAAUACAUUCAUUUAAGUCAAUAGAUACAAAUGAAGUAGUCAAUUAUCCGAUUGAAUUACUUAAUUCAUUGGAUUCGCCAGGAUUACCAGUUGCAGUUAAAGGUUGGCUCUGUGAUAAUUAUGUUACGCAACUGAAUCAACCAAAACUGUGUAAUGGAACAAGUCUAGCUGAUAAAAAAUUAUGAAAAAUUUAAUUGAAACGACUAUAAUCAUAGGAAAGUUCAAGGGCAAAGAUGUGCUUAUUCCAAGAAUACCACUACUGCCAACUCACUUUCCUUUUGAAUUAAAACUUGUACAAUGUUCCUGUUCGACAUUCGCAAUAACAAUUAAUAAAUCUCAAGGCCAAUCAUUAGAAGUGUGUGUAAUAAAUCUUGAGUUGCCAUAUUUUUUC